UACGGAGGGUGCAAGCGUUGUCCGGAUUCACUGGGUUUAAAGGGUGCGUAGGUGGUUUGGUAAGUCAGGGGUGAAAUCUCCAAGCUUAACUUGGAAACUGCCGUUGAUACUAUCAUUCUUGAAUAUCGUGGAGGUAAGCGGAAUAUGUCAUGCAGCGGUGAAUUGCUUAGAUAUGACAUAGAACACCGAUUGCGAAGGCAGCUUGCUACACGAUCAUUGACACUGAGGCACGAAAGCGUGGGGAUCAAACAGG
RNAcentral lists this ribosomal RNA (253 nucleotides) under uncultured bacterium. Its description in RNAcentral is "partial 16S ribosomal RNA". It matches the Rfam family "Bacterial small subunit ribosomal RNA", at positions 524 to 776 of the family's 1533-position model. The record is from RNAcentral.